CUGGCUGUUCAUGGUCCUUAUUUACCUCGACCCUAGUUGCGUCCUGUGUUUAUGAAACCCGCGAAGUGGAGUUCAACAGGCGGGAAACCCUCUUUUGAAUCUACAGCAAUCCCCCACUGUUUUCAAAACCCUAAUUCCACUUCCACCCACUGUUUCUCUUCAUCCUGUAUAAAAUAGCUGUUUUUUCGUCGAGUCUCAGUAAUUAAUUUUUUUUUAUGGCGACAACGAUUACAAAGAACAGCAAUCCUGUUGAUGCCAAAGAGGAUAGUGAAAUCGACGACAGGGAGAUGGAUGUCGAGGCUGCUGUUGAUGACCAGGAACGAUGUCGCGUUGGUGGUGUUGUUGACUGUGAACCUUCGUCUUUGCCUUCUUCUCAUACACUGUCUCUCAACCACGAAAAAGUAGUAGAAACCAAUAUUAUGUCUUUAUGUCCGGCGACAACGAUUACAAAGAACGGGAAUCUUGUUGUGGCCGAAGAUGGUGGAAACGUCAAUGACUUGUUGAUGGAUAUUGAGGAUGCUGUUGAUGAUCAAGAACGAUGUUGUGCCGGUGUUGAUGUUAGCGGUGUACCUUCGUCUUUGCCUUCUUCUCACACACUGCCUCUCAAUCACGAAAAAGUAGAACAUAAUACUAUUUCUUCAUGUUCUGAUGUUGAACAUAGCACGAAGGGACUCUUGGCUGAAGGGAUAGAAAACCAAGAAACAAAAACGGAACGAUCUGAUUCCAUUAAUGGUGAUGGGGGUGAAGAACAAAACGGUAUUUAUGAAUCUGAGCGGAAAGUGGGUCUUCGGAAGAAGAGAGGUUGGCCAAGAGGUAGGAAAAGAGGUCCGAAAAGGGACAACGAGAACAGUAAUACUGCUACUAAAUCUCAAGAGAAGAACAUUAAACCACGUGGUCGUCCCAAGCAGGCUGUUACUACGGAAGACGUAAGGAAGAUGACGAGUGGUGUUGUGAAGUCAAGUGAUGAUGAUAACAAGUCCCCAGAAGAAACAGAAGAAGUUAUGGCUGAUGCUCAAAUUGUUCUUGCUGCUCCUGAUCGAGAGGAAAAUGUUACCACCGAAAUAGUAAACAACAAAGAGGACAAAAUAGAUAGCGGGAGGCCCAAAAGAAGUAGCACGAAAAACAAAAUUAACUAUGCAAUUUUCGAAUAUGAUUUUGAUGAUGAAGAGGAUGUAAGGAAGAAGAUACACCAGCUAUCUUUUCCAAAGAAAAAAAAGAGCGGUGAAGAGGAACAAGAUAAAGAUAAUGGUGAUGGACGUAUAGAACAAAAUGGGGGUACUAAAUCUGAAGCAGAGGGGAAGGAGGGUGUUCAGAAUAAAGGCAGGAAAAGAGGUCGGAAAGCGAAGAAUGAGAACACUGGUAUUGCUACUAAAUCUCCAGAGAAGAAGAUUAAACCACGUAAGAAACUCUGUGUUUCUGCAAAAGAAGCAAGGGAGAUGACUAGUGGUGUUGUGAGGUCAAGUGAUGAUGGGAACAAGUCAUCAGAAGAAACAGAAGAAGGUAUGGUUGAUGCUGAAACUGCAAUUGCUACUUCUGAUAGAGAGGGAAACGUUACCAAUGAAGUAAUAAUAAACAGUAAAGAUGUAAAAAAAGAGAGUGGGAGGUCCCAAAGACGUACUAGGAAGGUUGAUAUCAGUUAUGGUGAGAUUUUGAAACUAAAUAAGGGAAGCCAGAAAGCUUCUAAGAAAGAAAAUACGAGUGAAGGGGAACAAGAUAAGAGAACCCAAAAAGCUUCAAGCUCAGGCAAGAAGGAUGGUUCAGGGCCAAAGUGGUAUGCAAAGCACAAGGUUCCAGAUGAAAAUGGAAAUCUAGUUCUCGUACCAUCAGUAAUGUGUCAUCAGUGUCAAAGGAACGACAAGGGACGAGUUGUUAGGUGCCAGAAAUGCACUACAAAGCGUUACUGUGUGCCUUGCAUGACAAGAUGGUAUCCUAAUAUGACAGAGGAAAUGUUUGCUGAGUGUUGCCCUGUUUGCUUAGACAAGUGCAACUGUAAAUCUUGCUUGCGUGAUGUGCGCCCUAAAGUUAAAGAUAAGAUCAAUUUCAAACCUAAUGAUGAUCAGAAAAUCCGGUAUUCUGUUUAUAUCCUACAUGUGCUUCUUCCAUUCUUGAAGCGUCUCAAUGAGGAGCACAUAAAGGAGAAAGCGAUUGAGUCUGAAAUUCGAGGUUGUUUUUUAUCAGAGCUACAUUUGAAGAAGGCAAAGUGCAGUCAAGAUGAGCGAAUGUACUGUGACUGCUGUAAAACAUCAAUUUUUGACUUGCAUAGAAGCUGCCCUUCUUGUCAAUAUGACCUCUGCCUUCAAUGUUGCUGGGAAUUGCGAGAUGGCAACCCUAAGGGAAACACAGAAGAGGUUAUCCUUGAAUUUAAAGAUCCAGGUCUAGAUUACUUACAUGGGGGGAAGGAGUCUGUUGGUGAGUCUAAGAACAAGAGGGAUACAAGGAAUGUGGUCAGUAAUUUUGUGAAUGCUGCACCAAAGGAAAAGCAAAGUCAUGAAUGGAAGUCUUUGGAUGAUGGCAGAAUCCCUUGUCCUCCAGAAAGUAUGGGUGGUUGUGGUUGUGGGAUUUUAGAGUUGAUGCACAUAAAGCCACUGGAUACUGUUUCAAAAUUGUUGGAGAAAGCACAAGAGCUCUUAAAGAUGCACAAACUGGAGGAAGAUAUGAGGGAUAUGCCUGAGAAAUGGUGCACAUGUUCUUCAAAUGGUGGUGAUCAGCAGUUACGAAAAGCUGCUUCUCGUGAAAAUUCAAAUGACAAUUACUUGUAUUGUCCACGUGCUAUUGACAUUAAACCUGGAGAUUUAAAGCAUUUUCAGUGGCAUUGGUCAAAAGGGGAGCCUGUAAUUGUCAGCAAUGCUCUUGAAACUACACUCGGGUUGAGCUGGGAACCCAUGGUUAUGUGGCGUGCUUUUCGCCAGAUUUCAAAUCUCAAUCAUGAUCAGCUCUUGGAUGUAGCUGCUCUUAAUUGUUUGGAUUGGUGUGAGGUUGAUAUAAAUGUUCGUAACUUUUUUAAUUGGUAUACAGAAGGUCAAUAUGAUGAAGUUGGGUGGCCUAAGAUCCUAAAGUUGAAAGAUUGGCCUCCAUCAAGUUUAUUUGAUGAACGGUUGCCACGUCAUGGUGUUGAGUUUAUCACUUGCUUACCCUUCAAGGAAUACACACAUCCACGUGAUGGAUACCUUAAUCUUGCAGUGAAGUUGCCUCCAAAAUCUUGUAAGCCAGACAUGGGUCCUAAAACAUAUAUAGCUUAUGGUGUUCAUCAAGAACUGGGACGUGGAGACUCUGUCACUAAACUUCAUUGUGACAUGUCUGAUGCGGUGAAUGUGUUGACUCAUACUGCAGAUGUGACCCCUGACCUUGAACAUCGUAAAUUGAUAAAGGAGUUGAAGAAGCUGCACAAGGCUCAGGAUGAUAAGGAACUAUUUGGACUGGCAGUGAGGACACAGCCUGAUGUUGAUAACACGAAAGCUACUACUGAGAAAUUAAAUAAAUUGAAAGAAAAAAGAAGGCGCCUAGUUAAAAAACUUGCUGAAUCUAAAGUUGGAAAAAACACGAGUGAUGACAAUGUGGAAGAAACAAGCGACCAUGUUAACAGUGGAGGCAAGCGAAAAAGUGGGCAUGAAACAGAUUCUUGUCUUGGGACAAGUACUAGUGAUCAAUCAGAUGAAUGUGCAUUGAAGGUGGAAAGUUGUGAAGAAGCUGUGUCUGACACUGGGAAGAGAAAAGCUUCCAUGAAAAAGGAUGAGGGACAAAGUGGAAAUAAAGGAUCUAAAAAGAGGGGCAGGAAAGAAGUGAUAUCCUCUGAUAGUAAAGAAAAUAGCAAUAAUGAGGAAACAGAAGCUCUUGAAGAACUUGAUAACCUUGAUGAUAUUUCAGGUAGUUGUGUGGAUGGAUUUGAUUUGGGAGAUGGAGGUGCUCUGUGGGACAUAUUUAGGAGGGAAGAUUCGCCUAAACUUGAGGAAUAUCUCAGAAAACACUUUAAAGAGUUUAGACAUAUCUUUUGUCGACCAGUGGAGCAGGUUAUCCACCCAAUUCAUGACCAAACAUUUUACUUAACCAUGGAACAUAAAAGGAAGCUUAAGGAAGAGUUUGGAAUUGAAGCAUGGACUUUUGUCCAGAAGCUUGGAGAUGCUGUAUUUAUACCUGCUGGUUGUGCCCAUCAAGUUAGAAAUUUGAAGUCAUGUAUAAAAGUUGCACUGGACUUUGUUUCUCCUGAAAAUGUUGGUGAAUGCAUCCAAUUGACAGAGGAUUUCCGUGUUCUUCCUCAAAAUCAUAGGGCUAAAGAAGAUAAGUUGGAGGUGAAGAAAAUGGCACUUCAUGCAGUGGAGGCAGCUGUAAUGGACUUGGAAAAACUCAUCCCCAAAGAGGAAUCUAAACCUGAAUCUGAAUCUGAGGAAUAGGUGGAUGCAACACACAAGGGAGAGAAUUGUUCAGGAAGAAUUUGACUUGCACUCAUUGCAAGAAACUUGGUCACACAAAGUCUUAAUGUUAUAGACAUCAUAGACUUCACACUAGGGAUGAGCAAAAUAACUGUUGGAAUUGAAGCGGAACUGGAACCGCAUGCGAAUUGAUUAUGCAAUUCGGUUUGGUUUUUGGUCGCCCAAAACCUGAAAAUCGGUUUCGGUUUCAGUUAUUGUGUGUAUGGAGUUCUUGGGUAUCGAUAUUUUCGGUGCUUGGGUGAAGGGUUGAUUAAGCCCGUAAGGGGAACAAAAAGUGCCCGGAUUCCCGCUUCUGUCGAUAAAUCCAAUAUAGCAUUCAAGUUGACUUUGUUCAAGUUUUAUGAUGCCUAUUCAUUCAUGAAGAUUAGGGGUGAGCAUGGAUAGCGGGUACUUGUUUUUGGAACUGGAACCCCCUCGAACAGUCGGUUUUGGAACCGGAACCGAGGUCACUAGCUAGUUCCUAAAAGUGGGAACCGCCAAAGACGGGUUUUGGUUUUGUUUCCAUCUUUUAGGAACCGUUACCCUUUGGACUCGGUUCCAAAAUAUUAAAAUUUAAAAAUACUUGAUACUUAAACAAAUUGGUCUUAACAACGUUGAUGACUAAGACAAUUUUUAGGAGGAUCUAAUUGGAUAUUGGAGGUAACAUUCUAAUUAGUCAUAUUUGCAACUUUUUUUUUUCCAAAACAAACAGUCUAAUGUGAAUGUGUAUGUCCGAAAAUAAAACAAUUUGAACAUAAGUGAUGAUAAUAUCUUUUGCAAAGAUAUCAUGUUAAAUAACAUUAAUAGGUUGAUGGUAAGAACAUGAAUUUUGGUUUAUGACUUAUAUUUAGCAACUUGGAUUAUCUUUUAAAACAAUUAUUUUUGUCGUUUGUAACUUGUAUCGUAAUGAACUAGUUAUAGUAUUUACUUUUUCUUUCAAUGAAGAAUCAUUUUGUAUUAACGAAUCUAAAAAUAUGACGUAAGGGUGUUACUCGGUCCUGGAGCUUGGAGCUAGAACCACUAGUCUGGUUCUGGUUCUGAUUCUAACUUCAUAGGAACCGCUUGUUCUGUUUCCGACAAA
Non-coding RNA from Lactuca sativa (garden lettuce), 5487 nucleotides. The record is from RefSeq and is a predicted model, not a curated record. Lineage: Eukaryota; Viridiplantae; Streptophyta; Magnoliopsida; Asterales; Asteraceae.